Molecule: ribosomal RNA, 253 nt
Filed under: uncultured bacterium
Lineage: Bacteria
Description: partial 16S ribosomal RNA
Rfam family: Bacterial small subunit ribosomal RNA
Source: RNAcentral
GACGAAGGGGGCUAGCGUUGCUCGGAAUUACUGGGCGUAAAGCGCGUGUAGGCGGUUAUCCCAGUCGGGCGUGAAAGCCUUGAGCUCAACUCAAGAAAUGCGCUCGAUACUGGAUGACUAGAGGACCGGAGAGGAUAGUGGAAUUCCCAGUGUAGUGGUGAAAUACGUAGAGAUUGGGAAGAACACCAGUGGCGAAGGCGGCUAUCUGGACGGUUACUGACGCUAAGACGCGAAAGCGUGGGGAGCAAACAGG